UAAUAUAAUUUUUGUCAAGGUCAGCUUCAUAAGCCAUAUCUGCAACUUCUGGAUGAAAAGGGGAGAUAAAGACCGAAACUAAGGGAAAUUAGAGGGAAGAGAGAUUCUUAGCGACUGCAUUUGCCUCCAGACUUGUCAGACACAGUGAGCCGCUCAAGCAAACAGGAUCUGGCAGAAUCCACCAAACUGCUGAGCUCAGGAUGUGGUGCUAUGGCCAUAGGCAAGAAGCACCUGGACUUCUAGUGAUUUCUACUUAGCAGUUCACUCAGAUUUAUAUGACACUCUAAUUAUGACUGUUAAUGACUUAUGAAAAUAUUUUUCUUAAUGAUUUGACCCAGCAGUCCUUAAAAAUAUACAUUGUAAAAUGGUGCCUCGUUUUCUCAUCCUGAUUUCUUUGAAGACAUUUGUUUGUUUGCUUUUUUACAGAACAUCUGCAACACAGGUUUUGUUACAUUAAAAAAAAAUGCUGCAUUGCAUUGCUAUUCUGGAAAUGUACAGUAUUUUGUUCUUCUCAGAAAAAAAAUCAAAAUUAUUUUUAUUUUUAAAGUUCAAGAUGCUUUACAAAACAAUGCCAAAUGUGUUGUUUUUCACAAGCUAAAUGUGUCUGUUUAACAUGAUUGUAUUAAACAUUGAUUAUAAAUGUAAAAUAUAAAUUAGACAGUACUGUGAACAUUAGUAAAUGAGAUUAAGGAAUUCAUUAUCACAUUUUAUUUUAAAGCCAAAUUUAACAAUUAUUAUUGUUUGAAAAAAUAAUUUUAUACAUCUGAAAAUAUCAUUAUUGUCAAAAUCAAAAGUAGAUAUAACAUUAUUUUACAGAGUACAUAAACAAUGCAUUUAAAAAUAUAUUGUAUUAUUUCAUGUGUUCUACUGUGUCAAUAAUUAAAUUGAUAAAGAAAGAAUUUUUCCAUAAUAAGAAUAUAUUAUAGAUAAUUAGUUUGCCGUAUGGGUUAAUAAAUGUAUUAAAAUG
Molecule: non-coding RNA, 967 nt
Organism: Chelonoidis abingdonii (Abingdon island giant tortoise)
Lineage: Eukaryota; Metazoa; Chordata; Testudines; Testudinidae
Source: RefSeq, a predicted model, not a curated record